GCCCCAUGACUUUUAAAGUCUUUAGUUCUUUAAGCACUAAAUCAGCAUUCAAGUGGCCGGUUAAUCUCCCAAGGGCCAAAAUGAAGUGCUCCGGCCUAGUUUAGGACACAGACUGACUGUUGGAAAACUCUUUCUUAGCACCAAACCUAGUAAGCACGGAAUAUAAACAGAGCAAUUUUGGACAAAAUUGCCGUACGAGCUUCCUUCUUCACUUUCUCCUUUUUUCUUACUCUGCAGACUUGUGCGCACUUGAAUCAAAAGCCAGAAAAACGGAUUUUAUGGUGGGGAGGGAGGCAGCAUGUAUUAUGACUUCGUCUGACACACUUAGUUGUUUAGUUUCAAUAACUAUGAAAAGCUCUUGGUUCCUCUGUAUUCCCAGCCUCCUUGAGUGCAGGUGUCAGAGUCUUUCUUAUUGCUUUUCAUAUACUAUGAUUGGGACAGCUCCAAAGGAAAAAGGCAGCCUAUCACGGCAAUUCCCAACCGAUGAGAAGCUGAAAGACCAUGUGACGCACAUUCCAUGCCAGGCAUCUGGAAGAUUGAAGGAUGAAAGCCAGUCAAUGGAGACGGAAGGGUAAACGGAAGGAUCAUCAAUGGAUUAUAAAGCCAUCAGAUGAAAAGAUGCAGUAGAAGAGUGUAUUUUAAGGAUGCCAAAGCGUAAUCCCACAGAUGUCUUGCUAAUUUCAAGGAGAAUGAAACAUCUUUACAAAGGCAAGAUCUCAUCUUACAUUAGAAUAACACACCUGACAUCAUGUACCCCAAACACAAAAGCAUCACCUCUGAAAUAUUUCUGCCAAAACCUAUUCAAACCCUCAAACCUUAAGUUUACAGCAACUAUAAGGGCUAGAGGAACAGGUUAAUGACUCCAAGUGUCAACAAUCCAACACAUACAGAAUGUGGAACAUUACACAAAAACUUCUCAGUAUCUUCAAAAAUGCUGGCAUCACACACACACACAAAAGAGGGAUAGGGAAAGUUUCUUCUAGAAUAAAAAACACUAAUGAGACGCA
This 1007-nucleotide long non-coding RNA is filed under the name Felis catus (domestic cat). RNAcentral describes it as "lncRNA (ENSFCAG00000052683.1)". The record is from RNAcentral. Lineage: Eukaryota; Metazoa; Chordata; Mammalia; Carnivora; Felidae.